UUGGGGGCACAUGCGGCCUGUAAUGGCGUUCUAGGACCUACACCGAUACAACCUUCAAGCCUGUGCUCUGGUUUAUUACAGUUGUCUCGAUAAUUAGGCAGCAGCAAAUGGCUAAAUUUACAGAAUACUUAUAAACAAUUAACCCUAGUAGACCAUACGUCGGUCCGAGGGACAGACAGCGGAUUUCACAGUACGCUAACUUUUUUAUCAGUACAACAGAGCGCGUCGGCCUAUGCGGUAAAAAAAAGUUUAGGAGAUGCCCCAACUUACCCGGCAUUGAACCAAGUUCAGUGACGCAAUAGCAGCUGGACAGGACGGUUGUUUAACCUAAAAUCGGUCUGUCAGACCAGUGUGUGGUACAGACCGUGAUUUUUUUGCGGAUCGUACCGGAAGAAAUCAAAAAGUACCGGGAGACCAUCUGAGCCGAGGAGGUCUUCCAAAAAUACAGACUGACUGACGGAUUGCUUGUGAUUUUGAUGCUUCAUCUGAACACAUGCCUGCCUGCUUGAGCGGGCUCGUGAGCGUUUGAUGAGCAAGCCACGGGACAAGAGUGAUGGCCAAAAAGAAUUCAUAAAAUUUGCACCAACUUUUUAAAGAGGAGAGGAACAUUAAUCAGAAACUCAUAGGUCCAAAAUUUUAGUUUCGGUUUAUUCAAUAUGUCUUAAUCGUUGUACAGAUGUCUGGUGUUGAUGUGUAGUACUUUAACAAGUUGCUAAAUAGUAUUGUGGUGGAAGACAAAAACAAAUGUAAAAAAAUGAUGAAACAUUACACAACAAAUCUCACUAUACCACGAUGAAGAAGAAGUGCGAUAUAUUUAAUAUAAUCUCAGGCAGAAUAUGAAAAAUAUUAAAUGAGAUAGUUAUUCUUGAAGUUGUAAGUAGAGUCUGAGCUCCGGCCUGUGUGCAGGUGCAACAGCUCUCUGCAGGAAUCGAUAUGUAAAAUGUUGUAUUCUUACCAUUUGAUGUAACUCGUACUGAAAUAAAUCAAUGAACGAA
Molecule: long non-coding RNA, 995 nt
Filed under: Neodiprion lecontei (redheaded pine sawfly)
Lineage: Eukaryota; Metazoa; Arthropoda; Insecta; Hymenoptera; Diprionidae
Description: uncharacterized LOC124293649
Source: RNAcentral